UUAAGCGACUCACGAUAAACCGUAAUCUGCUUGUCGUGUAUGACAGCGGAUUUUAAACAGGCAUGUCAAAAUUUUGCGAGAAUUUUAAUCGUCGUGCGGAUCCUUAUUUUCAUCAGACUUCAACGCAUGGCUUCAGUGAAAGUGCCUGAACAAAAGGUUAUACUUUGUGGAGAGUAUGGUGUUGGCAAAAGUUCUCUUUUCCGUCGGUACUCCACAAAUACCUUUGUGACUGCAACAGAUAGGCAGUCAACUUUGGGUCUUGAUCAUUUUGACAGGGAAUAUAAAGUAUCUGGAAAACACAUAAAACUACAGUUAUGGGAUACUGGAGGUAUGGAACGUGUUGCAUCAAUCACGUCCAGUUAUUAUAAAUUUGCAGAGGCAGCCAUACUAGUAUUUGCUCUAGAUAAUGCUGCUUCAUUUCAUGUUUUGUCCCAGCAUCUCCUGGAUAUAGUGACAUAUGCAGAAAAUGCAAAGAUAUUCCUGUGUGGCAAUAAAUCAGAUUUGGAAGGUCACACUCCACAAGUUACUGAAAGUGAUAUGGAAAGUUUUUGUGAGCAGUGUCAUAAUCUAAUCAGUGCUACAUACAAAACUUCAUGCAAGACUGGUGAAGGAGUAGAAGAAAUGUUUGCUGAUAUUGCACAUCACUUAGUGCAGGCAAAUAGGUCACGUUUAGAAUUACAGACAAUGGACCAAGAAUCUUUUAAAAUCUCAGCCCCAGAUGAAGCUACAGAACCAUCAUGUUUGUGUUAACAUAUUUUUGCAUGGUUGUGCUCCGUGAACUGAACUGUGAAACACAGUGAAGAUCUCUCUUUAUAUAUCAAGGGAGUUUACUCAUUUAAUUACUGUCUUCCUAGACAUUGUGCUUAUCAGGCUAGUGAGAACAAUGCUGUUAAGAACUGAGUGCAUGAGAUGCAUUUUGAUAAACUACUGAAGUUGAAAUGUGAAUAGACUUGAGCUUCACAGAGUUAUUCUUGAUUGUGUUUUCACAUUCUUCUCUUUCUCCAGCAUCCCUAAGUUCUGUGUGAUUCAUUCAUUCAUUCUUUCUUUUCUUCCUGUAUGUUUUGAUCAAUUAAGAAAUGAAAAUCUAAUAGGCUACAUUGUCUACAUUUUGUUGAUCUUCCUUUGUGUUUCCAUUCCGCACUGUAUAAAUAUCAUGCGUUGUUAUUAAUUGUCAUUUCUAACUUAAUUAGGUAGACGAGACCUAUGAAUCUCAAACGUGUGAGUAAGGGACAUAAGUCCUGCAUAGUUUGCAAGUAUUAUGUACUACCAUUUCUUAAGAUUUAAAUUUGGGGCUUAAAUUGUUUUUGUUACUACACAAAACAUUGUCACUAAGCUGACAAAACAGAACUAUAAGCGGUAGAGUAGAAAUAAUAAUGGAGAACUAGAUUUAGAUUGUCAGGGCAUUCUCCUUUCAGGUUGGGCAUAGGUAUGAAUAAAAUUAUCUAAAUUAAACAUACAUUGUAAACAAAUGAAAGCAACAAACUACAUUAUAAUUGAUACAGAAUUGCUGGACAGAAUUUCCUUGCCGAAUAUGAGAUAUUUAGCAACUCCAGUAAACUUGUUUAAAAGUAUAUGACACUGUCAUAGCUUUCAAAGCUAUUAGUUUCUCAAAGGAACACUGGAAAAUACUGAAUACUAGCAUGUUACCUUGUAUAAUGAAACAAAAUUUUUAGAAUUUUCAGGGUCACUUCAGUCGUCUCAGCGUUACCUUAAAUGGGUGCUAGAGUUUAAAGUAACUAAUUUUCAGGAAUUAUGAAAGGCUUCGACAAAUCUUUAUUACAUACUUACUGCACUGCAUGAAAUGUGCAAACUACACUUGUUAGUAAUAUGACACUUCAGUUUUACAGUGGUGGUACCCAUGUGCAAUUAGGGCUAAUCAGUUAACAGAAGUGGAUCCCAGUCUUCCUGGGGGUGACAGUGACCUGUAAUCCUUAUUUAACUUUCCCUAACAUCUGUCCCUUUAGCUAGAGGAGGGAAGUAAUAUUUCCAAGUGCUGGAGUAGUGUCGUAUUUUUUUGUGUGUUUGUUGGCAGUACUAAAUUUUUCAUUUCCCAGAGGUAAGUACUGGCCAGAGAUUACAUCCUAUAAUUUUAUAGUUUUCUGGAAUGGAUUUUCCUUUUGAUACAAACUGCUCUAUGACAGAUAGGGGGAGGGGGGAGGAAGAUUCUUAAUCAUAACACUAACUGGACAAAUAAGAGUGCCGAGAACAUGACAUCCUGCUGCAAAUUUUUCUAAAGCAUGUUUUGCGACUUUGGGUUUUUAAGAGCAAGCAAAUGUUGCCAUUAAUAACACAGAACAGACUUAAAUGGCAACACAUUUUGUUUUGUAAAUUUGAAUGAUUUUGCGAUUUCAUAGUUUUAGAUUCCAAAGGGUGUCUAAAAACUAAACUAUGAAUUGUAUGCAAUUUUAGCAAAUAGUCCUAUAGCUAUACUGUGUUUCUUGUUAUAGUUUCUGAUAGAUAAAAAGUACCACUAACAGUCUGAUUUGCUAAACUGUGGGGAUCUUCUGAAAUCAAAAUCACUUAUGUUCUUUAUAGGUUUGGAGUUACAUUAAUACUGUGCAUCUUUAAAUAUUAAUUGUCUAGUGCAAACACAUCCUGUUCUUUGCAUGUGUAUAGGACACCCAGUUGUUAUAAAAUACUCAAAUUAUCACAGUCACCUUCUUGCCUUAGAUCUGUGCUGAGGUAAGACAUUGGACUUGUAUUUAUGAAGAUUAUGGUUCAAAUCCAGCCAUCCAUAUCUAAAUUUAUCAUUGUUUCCCUAAAUUGCUCAAGCAAAAUCUGGGAGUGAUUGCUUUGAAAAGGAUGUGGCUGAUUUGCUUCCCCAUUCUCCCACAGUCUGUGCUUACGCUAUGCCUCUAAUGACCUCUUUGUCAACUAGACAUUAAACCUCAAUCUUUCUUUCUGCUUUAGAUAACUAGCACCAUGUGGCUACUACUGAUACAGAAAAAGUGGUGUGUAAAACUAGUUGUCUGUGGAAUCUCUCUUUUUGUGUAUUGUUCGCAGAUAAAAGUAAGAAAUGAAAAUUAAUAAUAUUUGAUACACAGUAGAAGUGUCUAAUUAUCAGCUGCUGAAAUGGGAGCAAUGCAGUAAUAUUUGAAUGGGGAUAUAGUGAAAAAUCUCAACAAAAAAGAAGUAGCCUCCACCUCCACUCCCAAAAGAAAAGAAGAAUAAUUAGUUAGGUGAUUGUUACAGCACACAACUUAGUAAUUGUACACUGGCUGAGACAUGAAAAAUAAAUGUCCUGUGGCAUACAAAAACCACUGCUAGGUAAAAUAACUUAAGAGGGAAUAUGACAUAUGUCAGGUAAGGUGGUAGAGCUGAGUACCAUUACAGUUUUGGGCUAGUUGUGACAGAUUAGCUAUGUCACAAAAUAGAAAAAUAAGUACCACUUUUCACACAGCUGUACUAGAUAAUAUCAGUAAAAUAAAUCUUCAACAGUGGUGCUAAUUAUUAUGAUAUGAACUGUUUGACUGUAUUAAACAACUAGGGAAUGACUUGAUCUUAAAAUUAUUAUGGAGGGACAAGUCUAGUAUAGUUGGCACUGAAAGCCAUUGCAAGCAUGUUUAACAAUAACGGGUCUGCCUCUUGGUGACAAUGAUUUCUUAUGGAGGGGUACACGGAUAUAAUUAUCCUCUUAUGUUCACGGUGAUGUUUAUUUACCGUAAAUCCUACUUUGACAGUAUACAAGUCUGUACCAAGACAAAGUUGACAAAGUGAGCGCAUGGUGUGAAAGCUUAUCCCAUGUUGAUAUACCUAAUUAGAGCUUUAACACUGAAAAUAUAACACUGUUACUGAUUCGCUAGGAUGUUUUGUAGCCUUGUGAAACUCUUGGGCCCAUUAUCAUGUAUGGUCUGGCGGGAUGGCUUUCAAAAUUAUUGCAAUGACUCCUUUUUCAUCUUGUGUGUAGGCAAUCCCCAACUUAAAGCUGUUUUUUAAACUGGGAACAUAAUCUUUCAUGAGAUAGAAUGUGCAUAUUUGGGCAAAGUAAGGAAGGAAAGAAAGAAAGCUGAAUACAUCAAUAAGUAUAACAGACUGUUAGUGAAAAUUAUCAAUAAUGUAGCAGUAGCACUGCAUUUUUCAAAAUGUUGGUAACUGACUUCCCACACUGAGCACAUGUCAAGAAACAGGUAAGAGCCAUUGGAAAUUGUGUAACCAUCAGAUAAGAUUCUUUGUCACUUAUUGAAAUUUAAACUAUGAUUGAAUGGAUUUUCUUGCUAGACUCUGUGUUUAGCCAUCUAUGGCAGACGUCUUCAGGGUGCAUGAGACUGAUGUGAAAUUUUGUGCUGAGGAAGAACUGGUGGGUUGACCUUGAGAAUUCAUUUAGCCACAGCUAAAUAACUGAGAAAAUUUUAAUAACUGUAACAUUUAUGAUAGUAAAAGCCUAUUUUUUUUUCAAGAUUUUUAUUACAUCACUUAUUUACACACAUCCAACCCUUUCUCUCCCACCAUCCACAUCAGUCAUUGUAUCUUUGUCAUGUUGGUUGAUAAUUUCAUAUACAUUCUAUUUUAUUUUUCUUGUUGCCCUACUAAAAUAAAAAUCUUAUUUUCAGCCAUUAAAUAUUUUUUGGCUAUUUAUGUAUAGUCUACUGUAAUUUGUGUUGUGAUGACACUCAUAUUUGCAUGUGAACUUAAAUAUGUUUUAAUUAGCAGUCUCUUGAGUACUGGAAUGUAUUCAGUUCAGAUAGAGGUGAAGAAAUGUAUAAGUCUCAGUUGUUGGCUGUUGAAAUAUAGUAGGGGAAGGAGGAGGAGUUUUAUUGAGAUAUGCUGGUCCAGAUUCAUUAUUGUUGCAUGUCUUUACAUGUAUUAAAAUUAAUUGCUAAAUUCAAUUCCAGAAAAUGAAUGUUCACAUACUGUUGACCAAAUUAUGUGAUUUCAAGAAACUUAUGAGCUUUUGUAAGGUCUGUCAUUUGGAACUCCAUUUUCACUUUUAAGUAAAACUUGAGUACUGAUGCUGUGAUUGGCCUGCAGCAUUUAGUAACUGGUGUGAUCUACUGCAGAUUCCUGUCUUUUGUUCACCUUUUCUGUACUGUUGUUUCAGUGUCAUAAAAAUGUUUCUCAUGUCCCCACAUCUGUUGUAAGACAACAUGUAUUUAAGACUUGGAAGAAAAUACAGUGCUUCAGAAAAUUCCGCCCAUAUUGUAUCAACAAGGUUUUUUAAAUAUGUACUGUUAAUCAUAACUUGUAGAUUUUGGCAUGCAGGAAGGUACAUACUAAGUUCUUUUUUACAGUCAUAAAUUUUGAGUGUGUUUAUUUCAUUGUAUUUUAUUAGUGGUGCUCAUACGAACAGUUUCUGUGUGUGUAUGUGUGUGUCAGAAAGGACUGCACAGUUAGCGCAGAGAAACUGUGCAUUUGUUAAAACAUAUUUACUAAACAAUAUUAAACAGUACUAAUCAUUUUAACUCUUGAGUGGGCGUGCCUUUGUAUAAAGUGCGCUAACAAAACAUAAAAUGAUUUUGCACAAUUCUAUUUUUGUUUCACAACUGCAGACCCAUACCUAUUCCUUCAUUAUUGCUUCAGGCAACACAAUGAUAAUUUGUGUUGUCAUACGUCCAACUGAGCAGCAGUAAUAUAAAAUACAAAGUGAGCUAGGCGGAAAAAAUUUACGAUAUGUGCAAAAAAAGAGAGAGAGAGACCCUGAUUAUGAGCUAGCAGCCUAAUGCCACAUUGAGGCAGUUGUCUAUGAGAUAAUUAGUGAUUGAAUAAAGAGCUGGAUGGGAUCUGAUGCCACAGCACUGCUUAAUGCUUUGAAUGGGUCAUUUACUGUGUCUGUAACACCUGUCCUUGGCAACAGAGUGUUGUACUGAAAAUUAAUUUCAUUAUGGUUUAACCAAACAGUGGUGUAGCUCAUAUUAUGUAAGAUUACUUUCUUGUUGUUUAAAUAACCUAAGGUUAAACUGUGAUUUUGAUCAUACAUGAAUCACCUAGGCAACAUAAAUGAAGCUAUUCUAUACGUGUGUACAAAGUGCACCUCGCACCCGCUUGUGUUAUUAGGAACGGUGCGCCCACUCGAGGGUUAAUAUGAUUUUCUUAUCAUUUGAUAAAGAGCUUAAUUCUAUUUUACAAAUGAUGUUAUUUGUAUGUACAAUAUUACCAUGUAUGACUGUAUUCUUAUUACUAGCAUAAUUAAAAUUCUACUGAUGUAUCAGAAAUAAAUGUUUGUAUUUGUCUCAUAUUAGUAAAAAAAUAUAACAAAUAAA
This is an RNA transcript of Schistocerca piceifrons (Central American locust), 6197 nucleotides long. It is a transcript of the gene named ras-related protein Rab-30, with no coding region annotated. NCBI's taxonomy places the organism in Eukaryota, Metazoa, Arthropoda, Insecta, Orthoptera, Acrididae. The record is from RefSeq and is a predicted model, not a curated record. The transcript is spliced from 5 exons.